AUUGAACGCUGGCGGCAUGCCUUACACAUGCAAGUCGAACGGCAGCAUAGGAGCUUGCUCCUGAUGGCGAGUGGCGAACGGGUGAGUAAUAUAUCGGAACGUGCCCUAGAGUGGGGGAUAACUAGUCGAAAGACUAGCUAAUACCGCAUACGAUCUACGGAUGAAAGUGGGGGAUCGCAAGACCUCAUGCUCCUGGAGCGGCCGAUAUCUGAUUAGCUAGUUGGUGGGGUAAAAGAUCACCAAGGCGACGAUCAGUAGCUGGUCUGAGAGGACGACCAGCCACACUGGGACUGAGACACGGCCCAGACUCCUACGGGAGGCAGCAGUGGGGAAUUUUGGACAAUGGGGGCAACCCUGAUCCAGCAACGCCGCGUGAGUGAAGAAGGCCUUCGGGUUGUAAAGCUCUUUUGUCAGGGAAGAAACGGUUCUGGAUAAUACCUGGGACUAAUGACGGUACCUGAAGAAUAAGCACCGGCUAACUACGUGCCAGCAGCCGCGGUAA
Molecule: ribosomal RNA, 502 nt
Filed under: uncultured bacterium
Lineage: Bacteria
Description: partial 16S ribosomal RNA
Rfam family: Bacterial small subunit ribosomal RNA
Source: RNAcentral